UACGUAGGGGGCUAGCGUUGUCCGGAUUUAUUGGGCGUAAAGAGCGUGUAGGCGGCCAGGUAGGUCUGCUGUGAAAACUCGAGGCUCAACCUCGAGAUGUCGGCGGAAACCAUCUGGCUAGAGUCCGGAAGAGGAGAGUGGAAUUCCCGGUGUAGCGGUGAAAUGCGUAGAUAUCAGGAGGAACACCUGUGGUGUAGACAGCUUGCUGGACCAUCACUGACGCUGAGGCACGAAAGCGUGGGUAGCAAACAGG
RNAcentral lists this ribosomal RNA (253 nucleotides) under uncultured bacterium. RNAcentral's name for it is "partial 16S ribosomal RNA". It matches the Rfam family "Bacterial small subunit ribosomal RNA", at positions 524 to 776 of the family's 1533-position model. The record is from RNAcentral.